This 433-nucleotide ribosomal RNA is filed under the name uncultured bacterium. RNAcentral's name for it is "partial 16S ribosomal RNA". It matches the Rfam family "Bacterial small subunit ribosomal RNA", at positions 29 to 507 of the family's 1533-position model. The record is from RNAcentral.
AACGAACGCUGGCGGCAUGCCUAACACAUGCCAGUCGAACGAGACCUUCGGGUCUAGUGGCGCACGGGGGCGUAACGCGUGGGAACCUGCCCUUAGGUUCGGAAUAACUCCCCGAAAGGGGUGCUAAUACCGGAUAAUGUCUUCGGACCAAAGAUUUCUCGCCUUUGGAUGGGCCCGCGUUGGAUUAGCUAGUUGGUAGGGUAAAAGCCUACCAAGGCGACGAUCCAUAGCUGGUCUGAGAGGAUGAUCAGCCACACUGGGGCUGAGACACGGCCCAGACUGCUACGGGAGGCAGCAGUGGGGAAUAUUGGACAAUGGGCGAAAGCCUGAUCCAGCAAUGCCGCGUGAGUGAUGAAGGCCUUAGGGUUGUAAAGCUCUUUUACCCGGGAUGAUAAUGACAGUACCGGGAGAAUAAGCUCCGGCUAACUCCGUG